GCAAGUCGAGGGGCAGCGGGAUUGAAGCUUGCUUCAAUUGCCGGCGACCGGCGCACGGGUGAGUAACACGUAUCCAACCUUCCGUUUACUCGGGGAUAGCCUUUCGAAAGAAAGAUUAAUACCCGAUAGUAUGGUGAGAUUGCAUGAUAACACCAUUAAAGAUUCAUCGGUAAACGAUGGGGAUGCGUUCCAUUAGGUAGUAGGCGGGGUAACGGCCCACCUAGCCUACGAUGGAUAGGGGUUCUGAGAGGAAGGUCCCCCACAUUGGAACUGAGACACGGUCCAAACUCCUACGGGAGGCAGCAGUGAGGAAUAUUGGUCAAUGGGCGAGAGCCUGAACCAGCCAAGUAGCGUGAAGGAUGAAGGUCCUACGGAUUGUAAACUUCUUUUAUAAGGGAAUAAAACGCUCCACGUGUGGAGCCUUGUAUGUACCUUAUGAAUAAGCAUCGGCUAACUCCGUGCCAGCAGCCGCGGUAAUACGGAGGAUGCGAGCGUU
RNAcentral lists this ribosomal RNA (496 nucleotides) under uncultured Bacteroides sp. RNAcentral describes it as "bacterial SSU rRNA". It matches the Rfam family "Bacterial small subunit ribosomal RNA", at positions 57 to 542 of the family's 1533-position model. Lineage: Bacteria; Pseudomonadati; Bacteroidota; Bacteroidia; Bacteroidales; Bacteroidaceae. The record is from RNAcentral.